This 492-nucleotide ribosomal RNA is filed under the name uncultured bacterium. Its description in RNAcentral is "partial 16S ribosomal RNA". It matches the Rfam family "Bacterial small subunit ribosomal RNA", at positions 29 to 507 of the family's 1533-position model. The record is from RNAcentral.
AGUGAACGCUGGCGGUAGGCCUAACACAUGCAAGUCGAACGGCAGCACAGUAAGAGCUUGCUCUUACGGGUGGCGAGUGGCGGACGGGUGAGGAAUACAUCGGAAUCUACUUUUUCGUGGGGGAUAACGUAGGGAAACUUACGCUAAUACCGCAUACGACCUACGGGUGAAAGCAGGGGAUCUUCGGACCUUGCGCGAUUGAAUGAGCCGAUGUCGGAUUAGCUAGUUGGCGGGGUAAAGGCCCACCAAGGCGACGAUCCGUAGCUGGUCUGGGAGGAUGAUCCCCCAGCCUGGCAGUGAGACACGGUCCACACUCCUGCGGGAGGACGCAGUCGGGAAUAUUGCACGAUGGACGAGAGCCGGAUCCUGCCCUACCGCGUAGGUGAAGAAGGACCUAGGCUGCUAGAGCCCUUUUGGUGUGAAAGAAAAGAAGCAGGUUUAUCCCCCGCUAUUAUGACGGUACCCAAAGAAUAAGCACCGGCUAACUUCGUG